CAGCAGCCGCGGUAAUACGAAGGGGGCUAGCGUUGUUCGGAAUUACUGGGCGUAAAGCGCACGUAGGCGGAUAUUUAAGUCAGGAGUGAAAUCCCAGAGCUCAACUCUGGAACUGCCUUUGAUACUGGGUAUCUUGAGUAUGGAAGAGGUGAGUGGAAUUCCGAGUGUAGAGGUGAAAUUCGUAGAUAUUCGGAGGAACACCAGUGGCGAAGGCGGCUCACUGGUCCAUUACUGACGCUGAGGUGCGAAAGCGUGGGGAGCAAACAGGAUUAGAUACCCCCGUAGUCCCUGUCUCUUAUAA
Molecule: ribosomal RNA, 301 nt
Filed under: uncultured bacterium
Lineage: Bacteria
Description: partial 16S ribosomal RNA
Rfam family: Bacterial small subunit ribosomal RNA
Source: RNAcentral